CCUACGGGGUGCAGCAGUGGGGGAUAUUGGACAAUGGGGGGAACCCUGAUCCAGCGACGCCGCGUGAGUGAAGAAGUAUUUCGGUAUGUAAAGCUCUGUCAGCAGGGAAGAAAGAAAUGACGGUACCUGACCAAGAAGCCCCGGCUAACUACGUGCCAGCAGCCGCGGUAAUACGUAGGGGGCAAGCGUUAUCCGGAAUUACUGGGUGUAAAGGGAGCGUAGACGGUUAAGUAAGUCUGGAGGGAAAGGCCGGGGCCCAACCCCGGGACUGCUCUGGAAACUAUUGAACUUGAGUGCAGGGGAGGUAAGCGGAAUUCCUAGUGUAGCGGUGAAAUGCGUAGAUAUUAGGAGGAACACCAGUGGCGAAGGCGGCUUACUGGACUGUAACUGACGUUGAGGCUCGAAAGCGUGGGGAGCAAACAGGAUUAGAUACCCUUGUAGUC
RNAcentral lists this ribosomal RNA (443 nucleotides) under uncultured bacterium. Its description in RNAcentral is "partial 16S ribosomal RNA". It matches the Rfam family "Bacterial small subunit ribosomal RNA", at positions 338 to 795 of the family's 1533-position model. The record is from RNAcentral.